Molecule: ribosomal RNA, 429 nt
Filed under: Gemmatimonadota bacterium
Lineage: Bacteria; Pseudomonadati; Gemmatimonadota
Description: Gemmatimonadetes bacterium partial 16S ribosomal RNA
Rfam family: Bacterial small subunit ribosomal RNA
Source: RNAcentral
UAGGGAAUCUUCGGCAAUGGACGAAAGUCUGACCGAGCAACGCCGCGUGAGUGAAGAAGGUCUUCGGAUCGUAAAACUCUGUUGUUAGAGAAGAACAAGGACGUUAGUAACUGAACGUCCCCUGACGGUAUCUAACCAGAAAGCCACGGCUAACUACGUGCCAGCAGCCGCGGUAAUACGUAGGUGGCAAGCGUUGUCCGGAUUUAUUGGGCGUAAAGCGAGCGCAGGCGGUUUCUUAAGUCUGAUGUGAAAGCCCCCGGCUCAACCGGGGAUGGUCAUUGGAAACUGGGAGACUUGAGUGCAGAAGAGGAGAGUGGAAUUCCAUGUGUAGCGGUGAAAUGCGUAGAUAUAUGGAGGAAAACCAGUGGCGAAGGCGGCUCUCUGGUCUGUAACUGACGCUGAGGCUAGAAAGCGUGGGGAGCAAACAGG